Molecule: ribosomal RNA, 279 nt
Filed under: uncultured bacterium
Lineage: Bacteria
Description: partial 16S ribosomal RNA
Rfam family: Bacterial small subunit ribosomal RNA
Source: RNAcentral
UGCCAGCCGCCGCGGUAAUACGGAGGGGGCUAGCGUUGUUCGGAAUUACUGGGCGUAAAGCGUCUGUAGGCGGAUCAAAAAGUUAGAUGUGAAAUCCCUGAGCUUAACUCAGGAACUGCAUUUAAAACUAGUGAUCUAGAAUUUGGUAGAGGAUAGUAGAAUUUCCAGUGUAGAGGUGAAAUUCGUAGAUAUUGGAAAGAAUACCAGUGGCGAAGGCGACUAUCUGGGCCAUUUUUGACGCUGAGAGACGAAAGCGUGGGUAGCAAACAGGAUUAGAUA